UAGUUAAAAAUUCUUAUUUAUGUAUUUACAGCUUUAUAGCCUUAAUCCUUUCUAUUCCUUGACUCAGUUACUCAGCCUGAAGGUGGUGUCAUACUUUCCCCAUAUUUUUUCAGAGGCUGCUGGUUCCUCAAGUAUCAUGACAAGAGGAAUCCUCAUCUCCCAGCACUACAGAGUGGCCAGGAUCUGGAGCCAAGUACAGGAAAUCCUGGUUUUUGACAGAUACAAUAAAUAUUUAUUCUUUUGGA
Molecule: non-coding RNA, 245 nt
Organism: Taeniopygia guttata (zebra finch)
Lineage: Eukaryota; Metazoa; Chordata; Aves; Passeriformes; Estrildidae
Source: RefSeq, a predicted model, not a curated record